CAGGAUGCUGGUCCAGGGGCAGAAUGCUGGAUCAGGGGCAGGAUGCUGGUCCACAUUCCGGUCAGAGUUUGUGACAGAAUCUUCUGGAAGUGGAUCCACGUGAUGAAGCAUCUUCUUGUGAUCUUCAGGAACCAGCUGUGCAAGAUGAACCCUUAUUAUCGUUUAACAUGACAUGUUCUUGUGAGCGGACGGAGGACAGAGUUAGAGGCCUGGGGGGUUCAAUUAUUUGAUCAUCCAGUCUUUUUCCCCCUGUGUCCGCUACUUGCCAUUCUUCAAGGGUUUGGCAUUAGAGCUGGAGUUGGUCAACGAGUCUCUGCCUUUGUCCUUGAGCAUGACAGCAUCCGCAUCUCUCUCCUUGUCGCGGCUGUUCUGGCUGUUCUGUCGGCUCUUCCUGCUCGACGAGUCGUUCCCCGUGCCCUCGAACAAGCGGGCCAUGAACUCCAGCCCCUCCCGACGGAUGUACGACUUUCCUGCGAAGAAGUAGAGCACCGGGUUGACGGAGCUGCUGAUGAAGGCGAUGGAGGAGGUGACUGCACGGCUGAUUUUCCAGAUUUUAUCCAGCCUGGUGGGUGGAGAAGUGAGCAGAGAGUUUAGUACUUAAUAGUUUUAACAUUAUGGAAAAGUAUGUUUAUUCACUUGCUAGGACUUGAUGGAAAUAUUGAGACCACUCUUGUUUCUCUACAUUUACGCCAGGAGGUGAUUAGCUUAACUUCGCAAAACUAGCUAGCCUGCCUCUUUCUAAGGUUACCAGGAAACACACCAACACUGGUCAAGUAAAAUAGACAGUUACUAUUUCUGUCUAACCCAAGGACACUUCGGCAUCCGGAUUGUGUCGGAAUCGAACUGCCAACCUUCUGAUGACGGACAACAGCCACAAGCACCCUCACACAGAGCUCGUUGUGCUGUGGAGAGGAGGUCACAGUUGCUAGCUAGGAUAACGAUAGCACAUUUGACUCAACGCAAUUCCCCGUGAAGCCCUGUGUUGCUUUUAUACGACUUUAAAAACAGACAUUAACUACUGAGCUUUACAGGUGACUGCACAACACUCAUCAUUCGAGGGGUUUCCAACUGCGUCCAGUAUGCUAAGCUAACACAGUUUGACUUAUGAAAUAAUGAACUUUAAUUGUUUGUAUGAUCACUUACGUGUCUCUUACUUGACCUUUUGGCCACAAAGCCGAUGUGAUCUGGGAGAAACACAACAUUUGUUUGAUUAGUAACAUUAAAAGUUGUGUUUUCAACUUGUCAAACCUUCAUUGACAACAGAAUACAUUUCAAGACUCCAUGUUCUCAAUGUUCUUCACGUGCGGAGACAUGUUUUAUGUAGAAGCACGACGCAGGGACGUACUUGCACCAUGUUGAUGAUGUGGUAUGGCAGCCACAGGAGACAGAACACCAGCACGAUGGCGAGGAUGAGCUUCUCACUGCGAAUCCGACGGCGGAACUUGGACUGUCGGAUUCGGCGUAAGAUGCAGAUGUAGCUGACUAAAAUGACGCCAUAUGGAAUAAAGCAGCCCAACACCAGCUCCAGCAUGUACUGCAGGACCGUCUGUGGAGGGGGGACAGGAUUUAGGAGACUGGGCCACCUCAGUGAACAGAAGAGAGGAUUCUGAGGAUCUUCUUCACUCACAUCACUGUUUUUAUCGUGGAAGGAGUCGCACACCAUCGGCUUUCCACGGGCCUCUCUGAAGAUGAUCGCAGGAAUCGAGGCGACCAUCACCAGCACCCACAUCACAGCUAGCACCCGCAUGGUGGUCCUCAGGCCGGUGACCGGGCUGAUGCGCAGCGGCCACAGGAUAGCCACCAGCCGGUAGAGGCUCAUCAGCAUGAUGAUGUAGAUGGAGGCGUACAUGUUGACCAGACACAAGUAGAAGAGGAUCUUGCACAUCGCUGUCUUAAACACCCAUUUCUUCAUAGACAGGUAGACGAUGAAGAACGGGGUGAGGGCCAUCAGAGAGCCGUCUGCGAUGGCCAGGUUGAGGAUGAGGAGCGUGGUGAUGGACUGCUUCCGAGCGCGAGCCAGGAUGCUCCAGAUGACAAAGACGUUCCCGGGGAAGCCCAAGAGGAAGACCAGGCUCAGGAUGACGGCGCCCACGUUGGUGGGGUGAGUGCUACCCACGAUG
Pleuronectes platessa (European plaice) is the source of this 2120-nucleotide long non-coding RNA. RefSeq lists it as uncharacterized. The transcript is spliced from 2 exons. NCBI's taxonomy places the organism in Eukaryota, Metazoa, Chordata, Actinopteri, Pleuronectiformes, Pleuronectidae. The record is from RefSeq and is a predicted model, not a curated record.